CUCCUCGUAGCUCAGUUGGUUAGAGUGCCUGUCUUGGACACAGGAGGUCGUAGGUUCGAGUCCUACCGGGGUGACCA
This 77-nucleotide transfer RNA is filed under the name Pseudomonas aeruginosa. RNAcentral's name for it is "tRNA-Pro". It matches the Rfam family "tRNA". Rfam says of the family: Transfer RNA (tRNA) molecules are approximately 80 nucleotides in length. Their secondary structure includes four short double-helical elements and three loops (D, anti-codon, and T loops). Lineage: Bacteria; Pseudomonadati; Pseudomonadota; Gammaproteobacteria; Pseudomonadales; Pseudomonadaceae. RNAcentral also lists the same sequence under 18 other names. The record is from RNAcentral.